AGAGUUUGAUCCUGGCUCAGAACGAACGCUGGCGGCGCGUCUUAAGCAUGCAAGUCGAACGGCAAGAGAGAAGCUUGCUUCUCUCCUAGAGUGGCGGACUGGUGAGGAACACGUGGGUAAUCUACCCUUAAGAUGGGGAUAGCUGCUAGAAAUAGCAGGUAAUACCGAAUACACUCGGCGCUUCAUAAGAGGUGUUGAGGAAAGGAAGCUAUGGCUUCGCUUGAGGAUGAGCUUGCGUCCCAUUAGCUAGUUGGUGAGGUAAAGGCCCACCAAGGCGACGAUGGGUAUCCGGCCUGAGAGGGUGAUCGGACACAUUGGGACUGAGAUACGGCCCAAACUCCUACGGGAGGCAGCAGCUAAGAAUAUUCCGCAAUGGACGGAAGUCUGACGGAGCGACGCCGCGUGGAUGAAGAAGGCUGAAAAGUUGUAAAAUCCUUUUGUUGAUGAAGAAUAAGGGUGAGAGGGAAUGCUCAUCUGAUGACGGUAAUCGACGAAUAAGCCCCGGCUAAUUACGUGCCAGCAGCCGCGGUAACACGUAAGGGGCGAGCGUUGUUCGGAAUUAUUGGGCGUAAAGGGCAUGUAGGCGGUUGUGUAAGCCUGGUGUGAAAUCCUGGGGCUUAACCCCAGAAUAGCAUUGGGUACUGCACGACUUGAAUUACGGAAGGGAAACUGGAAUUCCAAGUGUAGGGGUGGAAUCUGUAGAUAUUUGGAAGAACACCGGUGGCGAAGGCGGGUUUCUGGCCGAUAAUUGACGCUGAGAUGCGAAAGUGUGGGGAUCGAACAGGAUUAGAUACCCUGGUAGUCCACACCGUAAACGAUGUACACUAGGUGUUGGGGCAAGAGCUUCAGUGCCAAAGCAAACGCGAUAAGUGUACCGCCUGGGGAGUAUGCCCGCAAGGGUGAAACUCAAAGGAAUUGACGGGGGCCCGCACAAGCGGUGGAGCAUGUGGUUUAAUUCGAUGGUACGCGAGGAACCUUACCUGGGUUUGACAUCUAGUAGACAGUCUUAGAGA
This 1013-nucleotide ribosomal RNA is filed under the name human oral metagenome. RNAcentral's name for it is "bacterial SSU rRNA". It matches the Rfam family "Bacterial small subunit ribosomal RNA", at positions 8 to 1006 of the family's 1533-position model. The record is from RNAcentral.